CAAAGAUCAAAGAAGAGAAAGAGCUAACUAUCCUAAAUAUAUAUGCUCCCAACAAAGGAGCACCCAUACACAUAAAGCAAGUUCUUAAUGACCUACAAAGAGACAUAGACUCUCACACAAUAAUUGUGGAAGACUUUAAUACUCCACUCACUCUGAAAAUUCCAUUUGAAAGUGACACACCUUAUGUCCAUUUAUUCUUUAUUGGCCAAGCAAUUCACAGGACCAUAUUUAUCAAGGCCCCUUAGAAGCAUGGCACAUCAUGCACCUUCUACCUUGAAGUGAUAUACGUGACUAUCACUCUUAUUUAAUUGGCCAAAGCAAGCGUCAACACUACAUUUCCACAUUUCAUAUUAAAGAGGACAAGGAAGUGUAAUUUGACUGCCUAGCUAGGAGAGGAGAAUUA
Sapajus apella (tufted capuchin) is the source of this 403-nucleotide long non-coding RNA. RefSeq lists it as uncharacterized. Lineage: Eukaryota; Metazoa; Chordata; Mammalia; Primates; Cebidae. The record is from RefSeq and is a predicted model, not a curated record. The transcript has 3 exons.